RNAcentral lists this ribosomal RNA (378 nucleotides) under uncultured Glomus. RNAcentral's name for it is "SSU rRNA". It matches the Rfam family "Eukaryotic small subunit ribosomal RNA", at positions 569 to 953 of the family's 1831-position model. The record is from RNAcentral. Lineage: Eukaryota; Fungi; Glomeromycota; Glomeromycetes; Glomerales; Glomeraceae.
AGCAGCCGCGGUAAUUCCAGCUCCAAUAGCGUAUAUUAAAGUUGUUGCAGUUAAAAGCUCGUAGUUGAAUUUCGGGAUCAACACGUCGGUCGUGCCUUCGGUACGCACUAGCGUCGUUGGUUCCUCCCUUCUGACGAACCAUGAUGUCAUUAACUUGGUGUUUUGGGGAGUUAGGACUGUUACUUUGAAAAAUUAGAGUGUUUAAAGCAGGCAAUCGCUUGAAUACAUUAGCAUGGAAUAAUGAAAUAGGACGUUCGAUCCUAUUUCGUUGGUUUCUAGGAUCAACGUAAUGAUUAAUAGGGAUAGUUGGGGGCAUUAGUAUUCAAUUGUCAGAGGUGAAAUUCUUGGAUUUAUUGAAGACUAACUACUGCGAAAGCA